GUUAUUCUGUUUGACUAAAAUUAAUGAUAGAAAAGAAGAACAUGCUUUUGGAUCUUGCAGGAUGAUUGCUACUACUCUGGAUAUGUGGAAGAUGUCCCAGAAUCUGUUGCAGUUCUCAGCACUUGCUCUGGACUCUGUUGAUGAAGACUCGCCUGAUCGAUGUGGAGUAACUGAUGAAGAUAUGGAAGAUCAAGCAGCUAAAGACAGAGAACAUCAAAUAUCUAAGGUUCAAAUGGAGAGACAGCUUGUAGCAGAUAAAGGUGAACUAAACACUUUGUACACAUCUACCAGAUAUUUAGAGUGUUAUUUUGUUGCAGACAAAGCAAAGUUUCGCCAUGAAGAUUCCAAUGAAACUUUGUUGACAUUGAAGAUGCUCCAGUAUGUACAUUUAACAAGUGAAAUGUACCGUCCAUUUGGCCUUCACGUUGUUCUGAUUGCAUUAGAGCUUUGGACAGAAAGGGAUCUCAUGACAAUUACUCACCUUUUGGAACAGGUUAUUGUAUUUUAUUCGACCUAUGUUCGAAAAUUCCUUAUGGGCCGUGUACAAUUCGACCACACACAAUUAAUUGUGGGUGGAAAAUAUCCAGGGAUUGAUGGAUAUUCAUAUGGAGACCAUCUG
Molecule: long non-coding RNA, 619 nt
Filed under: Gopherus agassizii (Agassiz's desert tortoise)
Lineage: Eukaryota; Metazoa; Chordata; Testudines; Testudinidae
Description: lncRNA (ENSGAGG00000004255.1)
Source: RNAcentral